This 253-nucleotide ribosomal RNA is filed under the name uncultured bacterium. RNAcentral describes it as "partial 16S ribosomal RNA". It matches the Rfam family "Bacterial small subunit ribosomal RNA", at positions 524 to 776 of the family's 1533-position model. The record is from RNAcentral.
UACGUAGGGGGCGAGCGUUGUCCGGAGUUACUGGGCGUAAAGCGCUUGUAGGCGGUCCACCAAGUUUGGGGUGACAGUUGCCGACUUAAUCGGCAAAGUGCCUCAAAGACUGGCGGACUUGAGGGCCACAGAGGGACAUGGAACUCCAGGUGUAGUGGUGAAAUGCGUAGAUAUCUGGAAGAACACCAAAGGCGAAGGCAGUGUCCUGGGUGGUCGCUGACGCUGAGAGACGAAAGCUAGGGGAGCGAAUGGG